Molecule: ribosomal RNA, 400 nt
Filed under: uncultured bacterium
Lineage: Bacteria
Description: bacterial SSU rRNA
Rfam family: Bacterial small subunit ribosomal RNA
Source: RNAcentral
GGGGAAUAUUGGACAAUGGGGGAAACCCUGAUCCAGCCAUGCCGCGUGAGUGAUGAAGGCCUUAGGGUUGUAAAACUCUUUUGUCCGGGAAGAUAAUGACUGUACCGGAAGAAUAAGCCCCGGCUAACUUCGUGCCAGCAGCCGCGGUAAUACGAAGGGGGCUAGCGUUGUUCGGAAUCACUGGGCGUAAAGCGCACGUAGGCGGAUUGUUAAGUCGGAGGUGAAAUCCCAGGGCUCAACCUUGGAACUGCCUUCGAUACUGGCAAUCUCGAGUUUGGAAGAGGUUGGUGGAACUGCGAGUGUAGAGGUGAAAUUCGUAGAUAUUCGCAAGAACACCAGUGGCGAAGGCGGCCAACUGGUCCAAUACUGACGCUGAGGUGCGAAAGCGUGGGGAGCAAAC